RNAcentral lists this ribosomal RNA (253 nucleotides) under uncultured bacterium. RNAcentral's name for it is "partial 16S ribosomal RNA". It matches the Rfam family "Bacterial small subunit ribosomal RNA", at positions 524 to 776 of the family's 1533-position model. The record is from RNAcentral.
UACGUAGGGUGCGAGCGUUAAUCGGAAUUACUGGGCGUAAAGGGUGCGCAGGCGGUUAUAUAAGACAGAUGUGAAAUCCCCGGGCUCAACCUGGGAACUGCGUUUGUGACUGUAUGACUAGAGUACGGUAGAGAGGGGUGGAAUUCCUGGUGUAGCAGUGAAAUGCGUAGAUAUCAGGAGGAACAUCGAUGGCGAAGGCAGCCCCUUGGACCUGUACUGACGCUCAUGUACGAAAGCGUGGGGAGCAAACAGG